UCGGAAUAGUAGUUUAAAUAAUGUUAGCAUUGGAAGCUAGAGAUCGGGAGUUUAACCCCGCAUUCCGAG
This 69-nucleotide transfer RNA is filed under the name Harpovoluta charcoti. RNAcentral's name for it is "tRNA-Pro". Lineage: Eukaryota; Metazoa; Mollusca; Gastropoda; Neogastropoda; Volutidae. The record is from RNAcentral.